Molecule: ribosomal RNA, 496 nt
Filed under: uncultured bacterium
Lineage: Bacteria
Description: partial 16S ribosomal RNA
Rfam family: Bacterial small subunit ribosomal RNA
Source: RNAcentral
GAUGAACGCUGGCGGCGUGCCUAAUACAUGCAAGUCGAGCGAACAGACGAGGAGCUUGCUCCUUCGACGUUAGCGGCGGACGGGUGAGUAACACGUAGGUAACCUACCUAUAAGACUGGGAUAACUUCGGGAAACCGGAGCUAAUACCGGAUAAUAUUUCGAACCGCAUGGUUCGAUAGUGAAAGAUGGCUUUGCUAUCACUUAUAGAUGGACCUGCGCCGUAUUAGCUAGUUGGUAAGGUAACGGCUUACCAAGGCAACGAUACGUAGCCGACCUGAGAGGGUGAUCGGCCACACUGGAACUGAGACACGGUCAAGACUCCUACGGGAGGCAGCAGUAAGGAAUCUUCCGCAAUGGGCGAAAGCCUGACGGGGCAACGCGGCGUGAGUGAUGAAGGGCUUCGGAUCGUAAAACUCUGUUAUUAGGGAAGAACAAACGUGUAAGUAACAGUGCACGUCUUGACGGUACCAAAGCAGAAAGCCACGGCUAACUACGG